CGUCGGGUAGAGGAUGCAGAGUUGGACCAUGCGAUCAACCUUUUUAGUGAUUCUAGUCCUCUCUGCCUGUGAUGCAAUUCUUAGGUAACCUGGGCCAAAUGCUCCCCAAGCUAUCUAAAUUUCCAAACAAGGGUGAAGCCAAUGAAAUGCAAGGAGAUCAAAGAUUGGCUCUUUAAUGUUUUUCGGUGAAGAUACAAGGGAAAUGCC
Molecule: long non-coding RNA, 207 nt
Filed under: Elaeis guineensis (African oil palm)
Lineage: Eukaryota; Viridiplantae; Streptophyta; Magnoliopsida; Arecales; Arecaceae
Description: long non-coding RNA (EGUI_LNC038459)
Source: RNAcentral